Molecule: long non-coding RNA, 1677 nt
Filed under: Nothobranchius furzeri (turquoise killifish)
Lineage: Eukaryota; Metazoa; Chordata; Actinopteri; Cyprinodontiformes; Nothobranchiidae
Description: lncRNA (ENSNFUG00015006403.1)
Source: RNAcentral
GAACCUUGUGUUUGAUUUGCUCAGUGAGCAGGUGCUUUGCGUCAAGCUUUAAUAUUUCUGAUGGUAUCUAAGGGAUCAGGAGACCUUGCGUCUUUGUCUCAGGGCUGCUCUGGUAUGUGUAUGCGUCAUGUGUUUGUUUAGCAACAAACGAGGAAGCACACUGAGACAGAUGGCUUGAAACCACAGCCUCCAGUGACAUCACAUCGUAUCAUGCCUGCAAGGUCGCACGUGGUUCAGGUAAAACCAGACAAGCGACAUUCUGAUGAAUCUCUUUGUCCCUCCCUCUUGUUUAAUUGUCUCUUUUUCCCAUGCGUGUGUUUAUUCCUCUCCACUUCGUCUGAGUGUUACUCCUGCCAAGGCGAUCAUGGAUUACUCUCAACCCUUCUCAGUCCUCAACGAGAGGCUGAGACCUCGAUCCUCUACCAAAGAGCAGCUCAUCUCUUCCUUGGGCAGACUGGAGAACAGAAAGCUCGACUCGUUCAGGAGCAAAUCCACAUCCUACACUCAAUCCAUGCUUCAGACAGAGCCAGAGCCAAAAGUCUCCAUAACAGAUCCAGAAGAUCUGGAGGAAACCAAAAGCUACGAAGAGGAAGAAGAGUUGAAGUGGACGAUGAGGAGAUGAGCACUGAUGACAGCAGCGUCACACAUUCUGAGGAGACAGACAGCGCAGGGGAGCUGGUUUCAGUGGGGACAAGAGACCCUUCAAAGUCUGAUGCAUCAAGUGAAGCAGAGGGCUCCUUCCAGAGGUCCUGCAUGGACAGAUCCCUCCCAGACCUGAUAAAGAGUGGCAGGCCGCUCUGCAGACGCAGAACCGUGGCGCAUGUCUCGGAGACGCUUAAGGAAGUGCGCAGAGAAGUGGAGCUGUCUCGGAGACGAAGUAUCAAACUCAAGGCCCAAGUGGACAAACUGCAGGAGAACAGAGACGGACCGGGCUGGAGCAAGCACAAGGAGAGCGUCACGGAGGAGGUUCUGUCGGUUCUGGGGUUGCUGCAUCCUCUGGUGGAGCCGGAGUUCAGCCAGCCAAAGCUCGGCGGCGGCGGGGAAAGCCGCCUGGAGACUGCUGUGGCCCAGCUGCAGAUUGUAGCUCGCAAACUGGUGAUCAGCCACAGCAAGCAGGAGUCCAAAUCUGGAACAGAGGACAGCGGUGUCCUCCAGCAAGCACUGAGGGACAGAGACGACGCCAUAGAGAAAAAGAAGGCGAUGGAGGCUGAGGUGCUGCGCAGUAAGACGGAGAUGAUGGUGCUGAACAACCAUCUGCUGGAGGCUGCACAGAAACGUCUGGAGCUCUCACUGGAGCUGGAAGCCUGGAAGGAGGACUUCCAGCGGCUUCUGCAGCAGCUGGUGCAGAUGCAGCAGCAGGCGGAUCAGGCCCAGAAGAAAUCUUCUCGCAUGGGCAUCCUGAGGAGAAUCAACAAGACACCCGUCCAGCGUCCGGCCAACUGCCCUCUGCCAGCGACAUCGACUCCUCCUACAACCAACUCCAAGCAGAUCUACAAGAUAGAAUCUGCAGGUUCUGCCUCUCCCACUCCCAGCAGCAGCAGCGGAGGAAGUGGGAGCAGCAAAGGCACCUGGAAGUUGAAAUCCAAAAAGAGCAGGAACAGUCGGCUUUGGUAUCAGGAGCAGGACUCAGAUCACUGCAAGUACGAUGACGGCUUCCAGGUCGUGUCACUGGACUAA